CUUUGCCAGUUUUGACUCAGAAGUGUGUCACACCAACGUUACAAAAGUGCCCCCUUGCAGGACAGGAACUGCAAGUGAAGUGUCCUGCUGGAUUCUGCACCUCGGGCUCGUCUAACAAACGUUACUAAUGAAACCGCUGUUAAGAUGGCGUCCAUCAGUCCAUCACUCCCUCAAGGAAGAACGGCGAGGCCAAGUUGACGAGGGCUUGUGAAAAUGAGUUCGGGUUGUCUGGUCUACUGCAUCUCUGUCUGGACUUCAUCACGAGAUCAUUUGUCCUCUGAGCCACACGGUGGAGCUACAGUUCCAUUAUAACAACGCAUCACAAUGACGUUCCCACCAAAAACGUACACCAUUUUGAAUUUUGGUGGGCCUCUUAGCUGUUUAUCCCACGAUAAAGGACUAUAAGAAAAGAAAACGAGUGAUGUACAUCGUUUUGUUUAUUAAAAUAUAAGCACUUCCAAAAAAAUAAAAUAUAUUCAAUUCAAUGUA
Pygocentrus nattereri (red-bellied piranha) is the source of this 489-nucleotide long non-coding RNA. RefSeq lists it as uncharacterized. NCBI's taxonomy places the organism in Eukaryota, Metazoa, Chordata, Actinopteri, Characiformes, Serrasalmidae. The record is from RefSeq and is a predicted model, not a curated record. The transcript has 2 exons.